RNAcentral lists this ribosomal RNA (254 nucleotides) under uncultured bacterium. Its description in RNAcentral is "partial 16S ribosomal RNA". It matches the Rfam family "Bacterial small subunit ribosomal RNA", at positions 524 to 776 of the family's 1533-position model. The record is from RNAcentral.
UACGGGGGGAGCAAGCGUUGUUCGGAUUUACUGGGCGUAAAGGGCGCGUAGGCGGUCAGCACAAGUCAGUUGUGAAAUCUCCGGGCUUAACUCGGAAAGGUCAACUGAUACUGUGCGACUAGAGUGCAGAAGGGGCAACUGGAAUUCUCGGUGUAGCGGUGAAAUGCGUAGAUAUCGGAAGGAACAUCAGUGGCGAAAGCGACUUCCUGGACCAAUACUGACGCUCAUGUGCGAAAGCGUGGGGAGCAAACAGG